GACGAACGCUGGCGGCGUGCUUAACACAUGCAAGUCGAACGAAGAGCGAUGGAAGCUUGCUUCUAUCAAUCUUAGUGGCGAACGGGUGAGUAACGCGUAAUCAACCUGCCCUUCAGAGGGGGACAACAGUUGGAAACGACUGCUAAUACCGCAUACGAUCUAAUCUCGGCAUCGAGGAUAGAUGAAAGGUGGCCUCUACAUGUAAGCUAUCACUGAAGGAGGGGAUUGCGUCUGAUUAGCUAGUUGGAGGGGUAACGGCCCACCAAGGCGAUGAUCAGUAGCCGGUCUGAGAGGAUGAACGGCCACAUUGGGACUGAGACACGGCCCAGACUCCUACGGGAGGCAGCAGUGGGGAAUCUUCCGCAAUGGACGAAAGUCUGACGGAGCAACGCCGCGUGAGUGAUGGCGGCCUUCGGGUUGUAAAGCUCUGUUAAUCGGGACGAAAGGCCUUCUUGCGAAUAGUGAGAAGGAUUGACGGUACCGGAAUAGAAAGCCACGGCGAACUACGU
This 509-nucleotide ribosomal RNA is filed under the name uncultured bacterium. Its description in RNAcentral is "partial 16S ribosomal RNA". It matches the Rfam family "Bacterial small subunit ribosomal RNA", at positions 28 to 506 of the family's 1533-position model. The record is from RNAcentral.